This 695-nucleotide small RNA is filed under the name Vigna angularis var. angularis. Its description in RNAcentral is "Non-protein coding transcript". Lineage: Eukaryota; Viridiplantae; Streptophyta; Magnoliopsida; Fabales; Fabaceae. The record is from RNAcentral.
AUUUUUUCAAGGUCUCGAUUCCAUGGUCUUGCUAUACUGUAUUUUGGCUGAUCUCCAAAUAACAAACAUUUUUCAAUAAGCAGAAAGUCAAGGAUGGAACGUAAUUAGGUCAAAAGUGUCAGGUACAGCCAAAAACUGUGUUUUUCUCCCGGUCGUGGUGUGCAGCUAAGUGUCUACUCUUCGAAAAAAAACGAUCGCCGCCGGCGAGUCUGGUGGAUGACGAGUCUGAUCGAAUGGAGAAGGGGUCAUGGUCGAUGAUGGUUUGGUUUGAAGGUGGAUAUGAGUUAGGGUUAGUUGUUUUGAAGAAAGGAAAAACAGAGUGACCGUUGAAGAGGACGCCGAAGAUGACCGCCGCCGGCACCGGUGAUUGAAGCUUUAGCCGUCGUGGUUUGGGCGAGGCAGCGCCAUGGUGUGAUUGUGGAUGUUGCUGAUGCGGUGUACGUUAUGCAGCAAGGAGGAGAAGCUUAUCUGUUAGUAAUUAAAAAAGAAAAAAUAUAAUAAUUAAAAACAUAAUAAUAAUUAAAAAACCUGAGUAUGGCCUCUACCCAGUUUAUUCUUCUUUUUUAGACUCCUCUGUUUGCUGUUUUUAUCCUUUUGUCUUAUUUUUAGGUCGGAUUUGGUGUUUAUAUCCUUUAUAACAUGGUUUAUGUAUUUUCAAAAAUUACAUUUUUAACUUUUUAACAUUUCAUUCUUCA